UAGAGGCUGCAGUUGAGGCAGCUGCAGAGUUCUUGAACAAGGCAGUGAAACCAGUUAUGGUAGGUGGGCCUAAACUGCGAGUUGCACAUGCUGGUGAUGCCUUUGUUGAACUAGCUGAUGCCAGUGGUUAUGCUCUGGCUGUGAUGCCUUCAGCAAAGGGGCUUGUGCCUGAGCACCACCCUCAUUUCAUUGGGACAUAUUGGGGCGCCGUGAGCACUGCCUUUUGUGCUGAGAUUGUGGAGUCUGCAGAUGCAUACUUGUUUGCUGGACCAAUUUUCAAUGACUACAGCUCUGUUGGGUACUCUCUCCUUCUCAAGAAAGAGAAGGCAAUCAUCGUGCAGCCCGAUCGUGUGACAAUAGCAAAUGGCCCUUCAUUUGGUUGUGUUCUCAUGAAGGAUUUCCUCAGAGCACUAGCAAAGAAGCUCAACCACAACAACACUGCUCAUGAGAACUACCGCAGGAUCUUUGUUCCUGAUGGACACCCUCUAAAGUGUGCACCCAGAGAACCUUUGAGGGUUAAUGUUCUGUUUCAACAUGUCCAAAAGAUGCUGUCAAGUGAAACAGCUGUGAUUGCUGAGACAGGGGACUCAUGGUUUAACUGCCAGAAACUGAGAUUGCCGGCUGGUUGCGGGUAAGCCAAGGAUAAAAUAUGGUCUUUCAUGUUCCUUUCUAUGUUUUGGUUCAUGCUUUUAAUUGGAAUUUUGAAAUUGGCAUUGCAGGUACGAGUUCCAAAUGCAAUAUGGAUCAAUUGGUUGGUCAGUUGGAGCAACUCUUGGGUAUGCUCAGGCUGUUCCUGAGAAGCGAGUGCUUGCUUUUAUCGGUGAUGGGAGCUUUCAGGUACAUUUGAUUCCUUUUCUCAUUUUGAUCAAAGCCAAGCAUAUAAGCACGUAAAUCUCCAGAACUCUGUAGUUUACAAAUAGGAAUCUUAUAGAGAGUGGUUGUAGAAAAUUGUAUUUGAAUCUUAUAGAGAGUGGUUGUAGAAAAUUGCAUUUGAAAUGUGAAGCAAAGAUUGACAUAUUUGCGUUUCUCAGUGUUGAAGAGUUUCUUUGAGCUUCUCCUAUUUCAGACACUGAAAUCUCACAGAGAUUCCAUAAAUUUCUUACAUUUUGUUGUUUAAUGCCUAAUAGGUGACUGCCCAAGAUGUGUCGACAAUGAUUCGAAAUGGGCAGAGAACCAUCAUCUUCCUGAUAAACAAUGGUGGAUACACCAUUGAAGUAGAGAUCCAUGAUGGACCAUACAAUGUGAUCAAGAACUGGAACUACACAGGACUUGUUGAUGCCAUCCACAAUGGGGAGGGCAAGUGCUGGACAACCAAGGUGAUUA
This 1323-nucleotide long non-coding RNA is filed under the name Prunus persica (peach). RNAcentral's name for it is "long non-coding RNA (PPER_LNC006655)". The record is from RNAcentral. Lineage: Eukaryota; Viridiplantae; Streptophyta; Magnoliopsida; Rosales; Rosaceae.